AAAACUUUAACAACGGAUCUCUUGGUUCUGGCAUCGAUGAAGAAGCAGCGAAAUGCGAUAAGUAAUGUGAAUUGCAGAAUUCAGUGAAUCAUCGAAUCUUUGAACGCACAUUGCGCCCGCCAGCAUUCUGGCGGCAUCCUGUUCGAGCGUCAUUUCAACCCUCAAGCCCAGUUGGUGUUGGGGCCCUACGGUCGACGUAGGCCCUUAAAGGUAGUGGCGGACCCUCCCGGAGCCUCCUUUGCGUAGUAACUUAACGUCUCGCACUGGGAUCCGGAGGGACUCUUGCCGUAAAACCCCCAAAACUUUUACAGGUUGACCUCGGAUCAGGUAGGAAUACCCGCUGAACUUAAGCAUAUCAAUAAGCGGAGGAAAAGAAACCAACAGGAUUCCCCAGUAACGGCGAGUGAAGCGCAACAGCUCAAAUUUGAAAUCUGGCCCCAGGCCCGAGUUGUAAUUUGCAGAGGAUGCUUUUGGCCGGUGCCUUCCGAGUUCCCUGGAACGGGACGCCAUAGAGGUGAGAGCCCCGUAGGUUGGACACCAAGCCUUUGUAAAGCUCCUUCGACGAGUCGAGUAGUUUGGGAAUGCUGCUCAAAAUGGAGGUAUAUUUCUUCUAAAGCUAAAUAUAGGCCAGAGACCGAUAGCGCACAAGUAGAGUGAUCGAAAGAUGAAAAGCACUUUGAAAAGAGGUUAAACAGCACGUGAAAUUGUUAAAAGGAAGCGCUUGUGACCAGACUUGCCCGGUGAAUCACCCAGCUCUCGGGCUGGGGCACUUCGCCGGCACAGGCCAGCAUCAGCUUGCCGUCGGGGACAAAAGCUUCAGGAACGUAGCUCUCUUCGGGAGUGUUAUAGCCUGUUGCAUAAUACCCUUCGCGGGCUGAGGUACGCGCUCCGCAAGGAUGCUGGCGUAAUGGUCAUCAGCGACCCGUCUUGAAACACGGACCAAGAGUCAACCUAUGUGCGAGUUUGGUGUUAAACCCUACGCGUAAUGAAAGUGAACGCAGGUGAGACUUCGGCGCAUCAUCGACCGAUCCUGAUGUUCUCGAUGGAUUUGAGUAAGAGCAUAUAGGUUGGACCCGAAAGAAGUGAACUAUGCGUGUGUAGGUGAAGCCAGAGGAAACUCUGGUGGAGGCUCGCAGCGGUUCUGACGUGCAAAUCGAUCGUCAAACAUGCGCAGGGGCGAAAGACUAAUCGAACCUUCUAGUAGCUGGUUUCCGCCAAGUUUCCCUCAGGAUAGCAGUGUUGAACUCAGUUUAUGAGGUAAAGCGAAUGAUUAGGGACUCGGGCGCUAUAUUGCCUUCAUCCAUUCUCAAACUUUAAAUAUGUAAGAAGCCCUUGUUGCUUAAUUGAACGUGGCAUUCGAAUGUAUCAACACUAGUGGGCCAUUUUUGGUAAGCAGAACGCGAUCGGAUGAACGAACGCAGAGUUAAGGUGCCAGAGUAGUCGCUCAUCAGACACCACAAAAGGUGUUAGUACAUCUUGACAGCAGGACUGGCCAUGGAAGUCGGAACGCUAAGACUGUGAACAACUCACCUCCGAAUGUACUAGCCCUGAAAUGAAUGGCGCUCAAGCGACUCACCCAUACUCGCCCUCA
This 1591-nucleotide ribosomal RNA is filed under the name Colletotrichum higginsianum. RNAcentral describes it as "partial 28S ribosomal RNA". The stretch from base 314 to 1591 matches the Rfam family "Eukaryotic large subunit ribosomal RNA", at positions 1 to 1357 of the family's 3401-position model. Lineage: Eukaryota; Fungi; Ascomycota; Sordariomycetes; Glomerellales; Glomerellaceae. The record is from RNAcentral.